UGAACGCUGGCGGCGUGCCUAAUACAUGCAAGUCGAGCGAACAGACGAGGAGCUUGCUCCUCUGACGUUAGCGGCGGACGGGUGAGUAACACGUGGAUAACCUACCUAUAAGACUGGGAUAACUUCGGGAAACCGGAGCUAAUACCGGAUAAUAUAUUGAACCGCAUGGUUCAAUAGUGAAAGACGGUUUUGCUGUCACUUAUAGAUGGAUCCGCGCCGCAUUAGCUAGUUGGUAAGGUAACGGCUUACCAAGGCGACGAUGCGUAGCCGACCUGAGAGGGUGAUCGGCCACACUGGAACUGAGACACGGUCCAGACUCCUACGGGAGGCAGCAGUAGGGAAUCUUCCGCAACGGGCGAAAGCCUGACGGAGCAACGCCGCGUGAGUGAUGAAGGUCUUCGGAUCGUAAAACUCUGUUAUUAGGGAAGAACAAAUGUGUAAGUAACUAUGCACGUCUUGACGGUACCUAAUCAGAAAGCCACGGCUAACUACGUG
RNAcentral lists this ribosomal RNA (495 nucleotides) under uncultured bacterium. RNAcentral's name for it is "partial 16S ribosomal RNA". It matches the Rfam family "Bacterial small subunit ribosomal RNA", at positions 30 to 507 of the family's 1533-position model. The record is from RNAcentral.